CGUUCAGGGGUAAACCUGCGAAACUCGAAUGAACGAACGGGGAGAUUCAUCGUCAUUCGACGGGCGGCGUCGCCGUUCGCGCGAUGGGUAGCCCUCCGGCGCGAUUUCGGUCGCGUCCGGUGCGAGUUGCUCACGCGCACGGCGCACGCAUCACGUCCGUCGACGGCGUGCACUUCUCCCUUAGUACUGCAUCGCGACCCGCUCGAUGUCGGUCUAAGCUUCGUUCGGGAGCCCACGGCGCUUCGUGCGCCGCGGACCGCGACGUAAGCCGACCGGCCGUCGGGCGGUAGUUGACAGGAAACGCGCACGCGCUCGUCGCGUCCGGCCCGACGCAAGGUCGUCGCGACGCCGCCGUCAGACCCUACACGGGCGGACGGUGCGCGUCCGGCGCCUGCUCGUGGCAGCCGUGUCGUCUCGGACGUGCGCGUAUCGAGUCUGCGAUGUUUUUGUUUCGGGCACUCGCAGGACCCGUCUUGAAACACGGACCAAGGAGUCUAGCAUGUGUGCGAGUCACUAGGUAUAUAAACUAAACCGAAAGGCGUAACGAAAGUAAAGGCGCGCGCUUGCCGCGUGCUUAGGGAGGAUGGCGGUGCGCUCACGAGGCCGCCGCCCGCACUCCCGAGGCGUCCCGUUCGCAAUCUGUCGAUGUGGGCGCGCUCAGAGCACAAAUGCUGGGACCCGAAAGAUGGUGAACUAUGCCUGGUCAGGUCGAAGUCAGGGGAAACCCUGAUGGAGGACCGUAGCGAUUCUGACGUGCAAAUCGAUCGUCGGAACUGGGUAUAGGGGCGAAAGACUAAUCGAACCAUC
This 807-nucleotide ribosomal RNA is filed under the name Trifurcula coronillae. RNAcentral describes it as "eukaryotic LSU rRNA". It matches the Rfam family "Eukaryotic large subunit ribosomal RNA", at positions 406 to 944 of the family's 3401-position model. Lineage: Eukaryota; Metazoa; Arthropoda; Insecta; Lepidoptera; Nepticulidae. The record is from RNAcentral.